RNAcentral lists this ribosomal RNA (449 nucleotides) under uncultured bacterium. RNAcentral describes it as "bacterial SSU rRNA". It matches the Rfam family "Bacterial small subunit ribosomal RNA", at positions 29 to 524 of the family's 1533-position model. The record is from RNAcentral.
AACGAACGCUGGCGGCAUGCCUAACACAUGCAAGUCGAACGAGACCUUCGGGUCUAGUGGCGCACGGGUGCGUAACGCGUGGGAAUCUGCCCUUGGUUUGGAAUAACAGUUAGAAAUGACUGCUAAUACCGGAUAAUGUCUUCGGACCAAAGAUUUAUCGCCCAGGGAUGAGCCCGCGUAGGAUUAGCUAGUUGGUGAGGUAAAGGCUCACCAAGGCGACGAUCCUUAGCUGGUCUGAGAGGAUGAUCAGCCACACUGGGACUGAGACACGGCCCAGACUCCUACGGGAGGCAGCAGUGGGGAAUAUUGGACAAUGGGCGAAAGCCUGAUCCAGCAAUGCCGCGUGAGUGAUGAAGGCCUUAGGGUUGUAAAGCUCUUUUACCCGGGAUGAUAAUGACAGUACCGGGAGAAUAAGCCCCGGCUAACUCCGUGCCAGCAGCCGCGGUAAU